RNAcentral lists this ribosomal RNA (253 nucleotides) under uncultured bacterium. Its description in RNAcentral is "partial 16S ribosomal RNA". It matches the Rfam family "Bacterial small subunit ribosomal RNA", at positions 524 to 776 of the family's 1533-position model. The record is from RNAcentral.
UACGUAGGGUGCAAGCGUUGUCCGGAAUUAUUGGGCGUAAAGAGCUCGUAGGCGGUUUGUCGCGUCUGCUGUGAAAACGCGAGGCUCAACCUCGCGCCUGCAGUGGGUACGGGCAGACUAGAGUGCGGUAGGGGAGAUUGGAAUUCCUGGUGUAGCGGUGGAAUGCGCAGAUAUCAGGAGGAACACCGGUGGCGAAGGCGGGUCUCUGGGCCGGAACUGACGCUGAGGAGCGAAAGCGUGGGGAGCGAACAGG